UGGUAAUUUUAAAACUUUUUCAAAAUUACGAUUUUACAGUGAAAAAAUAUUAAUUAAUCUAAUUAAUUAAUAUAAAUUUAUUCUACAUUAGGAUCUAAAUAUGAUAUAUAGCAUGCAUGCAUUUAAAUUUGAAAUUCAAAUUCGAACAGUAAACACUUUACUGUAAUGUGUUCAGAACACAAUACCUUUGUGCGGGUAGUAGAUCGCCGCAAUCUGA
RNAcentral lists this long non-coding RNA (217 nucleotides) under Elaeis guineensis (African oil palm). RNAcentral's name for it is "long non-coding RNA (EGUI_LNC062819)". Lineage: Eukaryota; Viridiplantae; Streptophyta; Magnoliopsida; Arecales; Arecaceae. The record is from RNAcentral.